GCUGCCUGUUGUCAGCAGCCUUGAGUACAUGCAUCUUGUCUCAUUUCUCCUGUCUCCUCAUUAGCACUAAGCCUCAUGACCUCAGCUGUCUGGACAAACCAAAAAACUGAACCAAGUCUGAACUAGGAAGCUGGCCCUCACCAAGCACCGCACCUGCCAGCACCUUGGACUUCCCAGCCUCCAGAACGGAAAGAAGACCAAGAUGUAAGCACACCUGAGCAGAUCCUUUUCCAAGUAUCCUGAUGUCUCCAAGGGCUGUUCAGAUUCCAAAGAGAACUAUCUACAAGUUAAUCUCUGUUACUGGAGUCAUUCAUUCUCCGUAGUAAUCUGCUCCACAGAAUUCCUCUUCUCUUCCCUCCCAUAACCUGUUUUACCAGGAUCCAAGCCUCCAUUCUUUCUGUAACCUCAUUGGGAAGUUGGUUCUUCAUUUGGAAGGCUCCCAUGUGUACAUGUUAAAUAAAUAUCUAUGCCUUUUCUUCUGUUAAUCAGUCUGCUUCAGUCAGUGAUUUUUAG
This 513-nucleotide long non-coding RNA is filed under the name Homo sapiens (human). RNAcentral's name for it is "HSALNT0304405". The record is from RNAcentral. Lineage: Eukaryota; Metazoa; Chordata; Mammalia; Primates; Hominidae.